RNAcentral lists this ribosomal RNA (408 nucleotides) under uncultured bacterium. Its description in RNAcentral is "bacterial SSU rRNA". It matches the Rfam family "Bacterial small subunit ribosomal RNA", at positions 410 to 856 of the family's 1533-position model. The record is from RNAcentral.
AAUUCCCCUUGGGUUGUAACCUCUUUUCGAGGAAAAAUAUGACGGUACUCGUAGAAUAAUCUUGGCGUAACUACGUGCCACAGCCGCGGUAAUACAUACACGCGAACGUUUCCGGAUUUACUGGGCUAAGCGGGUGUAACGGUUUUUAGUCUUGUGAAAUCUCCCGACUCAUUGGGAGUCUGCAAUUGAUACUGGAGAGCUUGAGGGCAUCGAAGAAAGCAGAAUUCCGGUGUAGCGUGAAAUGCGCAGAUAUCGUGAGGAAUACCAGUGGCGAAGGCGGCUUUCUAGGAUGCUCCUGACGUUGAGGCCCGAAGCUGCGGAGCGAACAGAAUUAUACUCUGGUAGUCCACGCCUUAACUAUGGACACUAGGUAUAGGGAGUAUCGACCCUCUCUGUGCCGAAGCUAAC